GCCCUGGAAACUCAAACGGUGGAGUGCCGCCCUCGUAGCGCGGAAGAGUCGGUUCGAUCCCGACCCAGGGCU
Molecule: transfer RNA, 72 nt
Filed under: Myxococcales bacterium
Lineage: Bacteria; Pseudomonadati; Myxococcota; Myxococcia; Myxococcales
Description: tRNA-Thr
Rfam family: tRNA
About the family: Transfer RNA (tRNA) molecules are approximately 80 nucleotides in length.
Source: RNAcentral